GAAGAACAAGCGUUCAUUUUCUUCCAGGAGGCUGCACGUGUUGCUGUCAGGUGGAUGGGGAAUCCGACUACCUCGGUUUCUAAUCUUGACUUUACCACUCUCUUGUACAGGCAAGUAAGGUUCUACACCUUUCUGUGCCUCAGUGUCCCCACCGGCAACGUGUUAUAUAUAUAUCAUGCCAUUACACAAGCGCCUCGCCGGAUGAUUGUGCUGUAGAGAUGAGCUCACUCUCAGUACAGAGAUUGCAGUGUAGGUGCAGCGGCCAUUCUGUUUGCAUCACAGUGUCAAGGGAGCCGAGACAGCAGAGCAACGCCCUCCCUAGAGACGCAGCGCAGAUGUCCAGGUGGAGCCCUGCUGGCUGAGACAGCUGAGCCCCAUGCUGGGCUGUGUCCUUCUGGCCUGGAGAGGCACAGAGACAGCCAGGCUGGCCUCCCUCCUGUGCUCUGACUCCAAGAAGGCAGGGCUGGCUGAGUGAGCCACCCUCUCAAAAAGGUCCUCUACAGAAUGGGACAAGUACAUACUUAGGAAGAAGCCUUCAACUACGGCACAACUGACUGAUCCUGCCACCCAGAGCCCAAGCCCAGAGCAGGACGCUCUCUUACUCCCAGCCUUUGUCUCCAACAGCCAGGUAACCCUAGGAGAAGCCACUUAGCUUUUCUGAAUAAGCAGACAUCAGCAUUUAAUGCAGCCAACACUUCAGAUACCCAAUCCUGUUCCGUUGAACCUCAUAACGUGACAAUUCACAAUGGUUGCAAAGGGUGAAUGAGUCCAGGCUUUGAGUCCUUGCCCUGGUGUUUCUGGCCAUAAGUACCAGGGCAGCAUCACGAUAGUGGAUGAGUGAGUGGUCGAAGGAUGAGGUGAGCUUUCCUCAUGGGAUACUCUUACAGUAUCCCAUCCUACAGAACAAACAACACAGCUUCUCCUGGCCCCUGGCUCACUGCAGUGUUCCAGAAACCACCAGAGGGAUAUGCUCCCACCCCCAGACUGCCUGUUCCCUCAUAAUCUCAUGAUCUCCAGGAAGGAAAUCAGGUUAUCCUGGCAGGCUCAUCUUUACAAAGCUGAUUUCUUUUUUUUUUUUAUUUUUUUUUUUUAUUUUAAAGGUUGGUUCUGUUGCCUUGGGCAACACCAGACUGUUCCAAGUGUCCAGAUGGAAAAGACCCUGGAUCUCACCAGUUUCUAACCCCUUGCUUUUUAACCAUCUUAAAAAAUGGGGAGCGGGAGAGGGGGCUCAGGAGAGUCAAGGAGCCUGAGUUCAAAUCCUAGCUCCACCACUGACUGUCUCCAAGCCUAUCAUUUAGUCCCACUGUGCCUCAGUUUCCCCACGUGUGAGGAGGAAACAGUUAUGCUCCAUUUUGAGAUAAAGUAGCAGUGCCGAUAAAACUGUGGGGACGUUUUUCUCAAAUGCGUUUGCACGUGGGGUGCUUAAGUACCCUGCACAUCUGAGGUGGGCUCCUCAGCUUCCAGCCCUGAAGUUCCUGAGUUCUUUGUGGAGCCUGUGUGGCUCCUGAUAAAAGCACCAUGCCAUCCCAGAAGAGGCUAAGGGAGUCUUCUACAAUGAGUACUUCAGAAGAUUCUCCACAGGACAGUGGUCAUGUCAGGCCCUUGUCUUCACAACCAUGUCUCUUUUCCAAGCUCUCCGACCCCCAAGCCGUGUUUUUUGUUUUGUUCUGUUUUGCUUUUUAUCUAACCUUCCCUGUCCACACACACUCCAGCCUCUGCCAGCCCAACUUCUUCAGGAUUUAGGUAACCAUGUCCCUGCUCCCUACACUGCCUUCUUUUUCUAGCCAAGCAACAGUUCUCCAGAGUCUCACCCUCCAGAAAUGAGCCAGGAUGUGACCUCCUUCACAGGCUCUCUUAGAUGGUGUGAGGGAAUUAAUUCACGCCACUGUUGGAAAUUACAAUGCUUCCAAGACCUUAAGCAUCCUAAGUUCAGAGGCUGAAUAAAGUUGAAUAAAGUCGUAGCAAUGUGAAUGAGCAGUUUUCCAGGAAGGAACAGGGAGUCUACUCUGGGGUUUCCCGCUGCCAAAAAAAAAAAGCCACAAUUUAUGCGAUUUUUAAAAAUUAACAUAUUUUAAUUAUAGAUAGCAAUGGGAUUUCAUUAUGACAUAUGUAUGCAUAUAUAAAAUGUAUCUUGAUCAUAUACACUCUUCAUUACUCUCUUACAUCCCCCUCCCACUCCUCUUUAUUCCCUUCCUCUCCCAAAGUACUUCCCUUCUAUUUUUAUAUCUUUUGUUGUGUUACCCAAUGAAGGAGAUUAGAGUUGCUUAUCUCAUCAGAAAAGGAUAUUUGGUGGAGCGUUGGCAACAUUUAGUGACUACACCACUGAAAAAAAAUGUCUCCCCUUCUCCCAGCAACCAUUAACUGCUAGUAUCUCUUCAGAGAGACAAGGAGGCCUUAUGAGCCCACCCCCAUCCAUAACAGAAUGUCAAUGUCGAUAGGCCCAAUCACAUGAAGGGCUUGUGCAGGAAAUGAGAUUUUAUAUGAUGUUUGUUUCAGUCGCAUGAGCAAGAACCUACAAAGAGAAAACCUAACAUUUUUUUAAAGAAGAAAUUCAGAAGUGCACUGUUUUUACCAGCUCAGUCUAAAAAUGUUUGAAAGGAGAGGCUGCUUGCUUGCAUUUCAGGCUGACUCUAACAAAUAUGGCCUGACUUAUAUAUGAACAUAUGUGCACAAUGAGGUUUCUAUCUAUGGAAAAAACAUGCACUACAGUGGUCCCAUGAGAUUAUAAGGAAGCUCAAGAAUUUCUAGUCCUGGGCUGGGGAUUUAGCUCAGUGGUAGAGCGCUUACCUAGGAAGCGCAAGGCCCUGGGUUCGGUCCCCAGCUCCGAAAAAAAGAACCAAAAAAAAAAAAAAAAAAAAGAA
Rattus norvegicus (Norway rat) is the source of this 2861-nucleotide non-coding RNA. The record is from RefSeq and is a predicted model, not a curated record. Lineage: Eukaryota; Metazoa; Chordata; Mammalia; Rodentia; Muridae.